GGUCUAAUAGUGUAGUGGUUAUCACAGUGGAUUUUGAUCUUGCAAGACUACGCAGGUUGCCUUCCAUUAACCCAGGUUCGAAUCCUGGUUAGACCU
Marasmius sp. AFHP31 is the source of this 96-nucleotide non-coding RNA. Lineage: Eukaryota; Fungi; Basidiomycota; Agaricomycetes; Agaricales; Marasmiaceae. The record is from the annotation of a GenBank genome assembly.